AUGAACAGAGUCGAGUGCAGAGGGAAUGAGAUUUACCUGUGGGACUGUCCUCUCUCCCUCAAAAACCACACUGACUGCUCCAACAAAGAGCACGCUGGACUCACCUGUGCAGAUUUGCCAGAUUUAUCAGUGUCCACUUCUCCUGCCACAACAACAUCAGCUUCUCCUCCAGUUUCUCCUCCAGUUUCUCCUCCACUGCGCUCAACAUCAGUCUCUCCUCCACAAACUCUCUCCGUCCCCCCAGUGCUUGUGAUUGUUCUGGGAGCUGUGCACUUACUGCUCUUAGUGCCACUGCUUAUACUGAUUCAGCAGAACAGAGUGAUGAGGAGAGGUAGGAGAGAUCCAGAGACUGUCAUAUUGUGUCUUAUUCAGUGUGUGAUCAGUCAUGUGUUGUGAACUGACAGCAGGUUUGUCUGUCUACACUCACAGCUCUCUCUAAGAGGAGAAACAAGAUGAAGACUGAGGCCGUUUAUGAGGAGAUUCAGCACAGAUCCACUAACAGACACAGUCUCUUCACUCAGAGGGGUGAGUAACUGUUAUAGUAUUAGAUUUGUAGUCAUCAACAGGAUAAUCACUUUACAGAGGGAUGAGUGGAAUAAAUCACAAUAAUUUAUUUGUGGGACCUUGAGUAUUAUUUGAUUAUAAUAUUAGUGUUGAGUGAUUCAAAGGAAGUGGAGGUUUGGCAGAUUUGUGAUUGUGAACAUCUGUCUGAUGGUCCUACUCCAUAACAGGAAGUGUCUUUUCUGGAGAACAGCAUUCUGGGUAUGAAGAUGCUGAUGAGCUUCUUUCAGGUUGGAGGACUUAAAUAUAUUAAUGUCACCUGCUACUAAACCCUAUGUACUGCAUAUUGUGUGAUGCAUAUAUAAUUAAAAAAUUAGUUACCUUAUUUACACCAUUCAACACAUAAUUUAGUUAUGGUUUUUAUUUAUUUAUUUAUUCAUUCAUUCACUUCUAUAUUUUUUAUUAAAGCAGAAAGAACCAAACCUGAAUACCAUAAUGAUUUCUCCAGCAUUGAAGCCCCAACAGGUGAGUGACUUCAGCUGAUGGGUUUCACUUCUUUAACCUUCUUUGCCUGUGAACAGUAAACCUGUUUCUGAUUAUAGACUUUAGUCAAGGUAGACAGCACAUUGUAUGCAGAUGAAAAUGAGGAUUGUGAGGGACAGACUUACAGUCUUAACAGUGGCAUGUACUGAACAAAGGUUCUAGAUCACAUCAUUUUCACAAAGUUUGUGAUUACUGAAAGUUUUUGGAAAGAUGUGUUGUCAGUUGAACAAUUAGUAUGUUAAUCAACAACAGUACGAUCCAUUGAACCCUCUGUACUUCUGUCCCAUCUUUCCCUUCUGCCCUGACUAAUGUCUGUUCUCUCUUUGUUUUUAACUCAUUUAGAAAAGCAACAAAUCACAUCAGAGAACUAUGAUGAUGUCAUCACUGCUGGACUGAGACAUGCUACAGGUUCUAGAUAUAGAUAUAGAUAUAUAGAUAUCAAAAAUGUUGUUCAUUUGAUGGAUGCAUUUAAUUUUUCAUUAUUUUGUUGUAGAUGACUUGCCCGAAAACUAUGAUGAUGUCAUCAUCAUACGACAGUUCUCCAAUGAUAACAAAGGUGUCGGAUUCAAUUUACACCCUUCUAGAUUAGAACUGUUUUUUUUUUCUUCAAAUUAUUGUGCCAAAUAAAGUAUGUAGUCCAGUGGUGUCCAAACCUGCUCCUGGAGGGUCAGUGUCCUGCAGAGUUUAGCUCCAUCUCGUCCCAACACCCCUGUCUGGAAGUCUCUAGUGACUCUGAAGACCUUGAUCAGCUGGUUCAGGUGUGUUUAAUUGGGCUCAGAACUAAACUCUGCAGGACUGUGGCCCUCCAGGAGCAGGAUUGGUCACCCCUGAUAUAUGUCUGUUUGUUCAUUUAAUUAAUAAUCACCACAUUUAUUAUCAGAGGGUGUUCAGGAGGAGUAUGAUGAUGUGAAGAAUGUCAGCGAAUAUAUGAGUGACAUGUUUGGUACGUUAUUAACACCUUCAUUUAGUCUUUAUAAUCACUUUAUCAAUUCGUGUGGUUAUAAAAGCUCAUUUAAAUUUACUGUUAGUUUUAGUGUUGUAGGGUUUUUUAUCAUGCAUUUUAAUAUAUGUAUCGAUACAUGAAUCGUUCUCUUGUUUUCCAAUAACAGACUAUGAUGAUGUGGAGGAGGAUCCAGGAAAACAGACAGGAGCUGUUUAACUCAAACCUCACACACUGCCUCAAAUCCUUUUAAAGCUUUUAAGAUUUUAGCAAUCUUACUAUAUGUGUUUCAGUUGCAGUCUAAACAGUGUUUUGAUACAUCCUGUACUGAAAUAUACAAUUACAAUUUUCGACAGAAAAAAAUGCUUUGCUUUCAUGACUUUUUAAAAAGGUGCUUGACUUUUUCCAAACACUUUUACAAAUCUUUUCUAUUGUGUAGCCUUAGAAAUUUGAGAGAACAAAAACCUGUCAUUUUCUGACAUUCAGUAACUUUGUAUAAACAUAAUUGUGUUGAGAAUGUGUUCAUCAUUCAGCUACCACCCAUCAUUAAUGGAUUACAAUAUCUUCAACUUAAUAAUAUCAUAAUAUGAAAUAUCACAAUAUCAUUCACUGAUGGUUCACUGUUAAUAUUUUGUUAAAGGACAUUAGAAUGUUACGGGGACCGAGAGCUUAAUGUGCUGCAACUUCAGAAAACACAUGCAAAUAGAAAAAGCACCAGCAAAUAAAGAAAACAUCUUCAUCAGUCUGAGAUCACAUGUGCUGAAAAUACUCACAACACAACCAAAUAAAGAAACAGACCACAAGAAAAUUACUUUAACUAAACGAAAAUGUACUUUUUCUUUUUUAAACAUUUUUU
Long non-coding RNA from Carassius auratus (goldfish), 2840 nucleotides. Lineage: Eukaryota; Metazoa; Chordata; Actinopteri; Cypriniformes; Cyprinidae. The record is from Ensembl.